GGUUUGACGAGAGCUAUGCUGUCUCUUUUAAAUAUUUAAAAAUUAACUUUUAGGUGAAGAGGCCUAAAUUUAUUUAAGGGACAAGAAGACCCUGUUGAGCUUUAGUGAUGUUGUAAACGAUGAAGAAUAAGUUAUUAUUGAUUUGUUGUGUAUUUAUUAUAAUAAAAGUUUGCAAAUAAUCUUUAGUUGGGGCGACUGAGGAACAUAAAAAGCUUCCUUGUAUAUAAAUUAUUUAAGUAAUUGAAUAAAUUAAUGCUUAUGUGUUAUUUUGAUCCAAAUUAUUUUGAUUAAGAGAAAAAGUUACCACAGGGAUAACAGCGUAAUCUUUCUGGAGAGAUCUUAUCGAAAGAAGGGUUUGCGACCUCGAUGUUGGACUAAGAUAUCCUAAGGGUGUAGAAGUUCUUAAAGGUUGGUCUGUUCGACCAUUAAAAUCUU
Molecule: ribosomal RNA, 435 nt
Filed under: Steromphala umbilicaris
Lineage: Eukaryota; Metazoa; Mollusca; Gastropoda; Trochida; Trochidae
Description: partial 16S ribosomal RNA
Rfam family: Bacterial large subunit ribosomal RNA
Source: RNAcentral